AUGCGCCACCCAUGGAAGCACCCCACCGCGCGCCACGGCGCCGCCGAGCUCUGCUUCCGCGAGGUCGGCGACCUCCUCCCCCGCCGCUUCGCUCGCCGCGCCGCCGCCUCCGAGGAGCUUGUAAUGCGCCUCCAGAUUCAUAGGAAGCUCAACAAGCACACAGGAUGCGUGAACACGGUGGGCUUCAAUGCCGCUGGUGACACCCUCAUAUCUGGGUCAGAUGAUCAGAGGGUAAUGCUGUGGGAUUGGGACACUGGUGCAGUUAAAAUGCAGUUCCAUUCGGGCCAUGGCGAUAAUGUGUUCCAAGCACGGUUCAUGCCUUACACGAAUGAUCGCACCAUUGUCACCUGCGCUGCUGAUGGCGAGGUGAGAGUUGCCAAGAUCCAGGAUGGCCGGGAUGUGCUUACUUCAUUGCUUGGUGACCAUGAUGGAAGGGCUCACAAGUUGGCUUUAGAGCCUGGAAGCCCUUAUAUUUUCUAUAGUUGUGGCGAAGAUGGUCAUGUCCAACAUUUUGAUUUGAGGACAGAUACAGCCACAGAGUUAUUCAUUUGCAGAAAGUUUGUGGCUAAAUCAGGACACUCCUCUCAUGUCCAUCUUAAUGCAAUCACAAUUGAUCCACGGAAUCCAAAUCUUCUUGCAGUUGCGGGAAACAAUUCUUAUGCUCGUGUCUACGACAUCCGUAAAUGCAAGUCGGGUGGAUCAUCUGAUUUCGCUCAGCCAUCUGACUGUUAUUGUCCACCACAUCUUAUUGGCAAUAAGAAUGUUGGAAUAACAGGGUUAGCAUUCUCUCACCAGAGUGAGUUGCUUGUAUCUUACAAUGAUGAGAAUAUUUACCUCUUCCCUAAAAAUGGAGGGCUGGGACCCGACCCAAAAUCAUCCGUCAAAAUUGGAGGCGGUGAAGGGUCCAACUCAACAGUGUUUGCAUCUGGUGAAGAUGUUGAUCGACCUGCGCCUCAGGUUUAUGUUGGGCAUCGCAAUUGUGAGACUGUGAAGGGUGUGACUUUUAUUGGGCCAAAUCAUGAAUAUGUUGCCAGUGGGUCAGACUGUGGUCGGUUGUUUAUUUGGAGGAAGAGAGAUGGGAAAUUUUUACGGGCAAUGGAGGGUGAUGAAUGCAUAGUCAAUUGUAUUGAGCCCCAUCCUCAUGCUAUGACAAUUGCAAGCAGUGGAAUUGAUAAUGAUGUGAAGCUAUGGACUCCCUCCGCCGUUGAACGAGCACGAGUUGUUAAUGUUGAGGAGUUGAAGCCCCGAAAGAGGAAAGCAAAGCUCUGGCAAUUUGCCUUGCCGGAGGAAUUGGUCUGGCAUGUGCUGGCAUCACGACGUAGGCAACCAGCAGCUGGAGAAGAUUCAUCUGAGGAUCUUGAAGACAACACAGAAUUGCUUAGUCUUGUACUGCGAGCUGCAAACAGAGAUAACUUGUCUGAUGAGAGUGAUGAGGAUGAAAAAACCUCGGAUGGCUCUGGAGAAUAG
This 1467-nucleotide ribosomal RNA is filed under the name Triticum aestivum (bread wheat). RNAcentral's name for it is "partial small subunit ribosomal RNA". The record is from RNAcentral. Lineage: Eukaryota; Viridiplantae; Streptophyta; Magnoliopsida; Poales; Poaceae.